GAUGAACGCUGGCGGCGUGCCUAAUACAUGCCAGUCGAGCGAACAGACGAGGAGCUUGCUCCUCUGACGUUAGCGGCGGACGGGUGAGUAACACGUGGAUAACCUACCUAUAAGACUGGGAUAACUUCGGGAAACCGGAGCUAAUACCGGAUAAUAUAUUGAACCGCAUGGUUCAAUAGUGAAAGACGGUUUUGCUGUCACUUAUAGAUGGAUCCGCGCCGCAUUAGCUAGUUGGUAAGGUAACGGCUUACCAAGGCAACGAUGCGUAGCCGACCUGUGAGGGUGAUCGGCCACACUGGAACUGAGACACGGUCCAGACUCCUACGGGAGGCAGCAGUAGGGAAUCUUCCGCAAUGGGCGAAAGCCUGACGGAGCAACGCCGCGUGAGUGAUGAAGGUCUUCGGAUCGUAAAACUCUGUUAUUAGGGAAGAACAAAUGUGUAAGUAACUAUGCACGUCUUGACGGUACCUAAUCAGAAAGCCACGGCUAACUACGUG
RNAcentral lists this ribosomal RNA (497 nucleotides) under uncultured bacterium. RNAcentral's name for it is "partial 16S ribosomal RNA". It matches the Rfam family "Bacterial small subunit ribosomal RNA", at positions 28 to 507 of the family's 1533-position model. The record is from RNAcentral.